Molecule: ribosomal RNA, 2905 nt
Filed under: Enterobacter bugandensis
Lineage: Bacteria; Pseudomonadati; Pseudomonadota; Gammaproteobacteria; Enterobacterales; Enterobacteriaceae
Description: 23S ribosomal RNA
Rfam family: Bacterial large subunit ribosomal RNA
Source: RNAcentral
GGUUAAGCGACUAAGCGUACACGGUGGAUGCCCUGGCAGUCAGAGGCGAUGAAGGACGUGCUAAUCUGCGAAAAGCGACGGCGAGGUGAUAUGAACCUUUGACCCGUCGAUGUCCGAAUGGGGAAACCCAGUGUGAUUCGUCACACUAUCGUUAACUGAAUACAUAGGUUAACGAGGCGAACCGGGGGAACUGAAACAUCUAAGUACCCCGAGGAAAAGAAAUCAACCGAGAUUCCCCCAGUAGCGGCGAGCGAACGGGGAGCAGCCCGGAGUCUGAAUCAGCUUGUGUGUUAGUGGAAGCGUCUGGAAAGUCGCACGGUACAGGGUGACAGUCCCGUACACGAAAAUGCACAGGUUGUGAACUCGAAGAGUAGGGCGGGACACGUGGUAUCCUGUCUGAAUAUGGGGGGACCAUCCUCCAAGGCUAAAUACUCCUGACUGACCGAUAGUGAACCAGUACCGUGAGGGAAAGGCGAAAAGAACCCCGGCGAGGGGAGUGAAAAAGAACCUGAAACCGUGUACGUACAAGCAGUGGGAGCACCUUCGUGGUGUGACUGCGUACCUUUUGUAUAAUGGGUCAGCGACUUAUAUUCUGUAGCAAGGUUAACCGUAUAGGGGAGCCGCAGGGAAACCGAGUCUUAACUGGGCGUUAAGUUGCAGGGUAUAGACCCGAAACCCGGUGAUCUAGCCAUGGGCAGGUUGAAGGUUGGGUAACACUAACUGGAGGACCGAACCGACUAAUGUUGAAAAAUUAGCGGAUGACCUGUGGCUGGGGGUGAAAGGCCAAUCAAACCGGGAGAUAGCUGGUUCUCCCCGAAAGCUAUUUAGGUAGCGCCUCGUGAACUCAUCUUCGGGGGUAGAGCACUGUUUCGGCUAGGGGGCCAUCCCGGCUUACCAACCCGAUGCAAACUACGAAUACCGAAGAAUGUUAUCACGGGAGACACACGGCGGGUGCUAACGUCCGUCGUGAAGAGGGAAACAACCCAGACCGCCAGCUAAGGUCCCAAAGUCAUGGUUAAGUGGGAAACGAUGUGGGAAGGCACAGACAGCCAGGAUGUUGGCUUAGAAGCAGCCAUCAUUUAAAGAAAGCGUAAUAGCUCACUGGUCGAGUCGGCCUGCGCGGAAGAUGUAACGGGGCUAAACCAUGCACCGAAGCUGCGGCAGCGACGCUUAUGCGUUGUUGGGUAGGGGAGCGUUCUGUAAGCCGUCGAAGGUGUGCUGUGAGGCAUGCUGGAGGUAUCAGAAGUGCGAAUGCUGACAUAAGUAACGAUAAAGCGGGUGAAAAGCCCGCUCGCCGGAAGACCAAGGGUUCCUGUCCAACGUUAAUCGGGGCAGGGUGAGUCGACCCCUAAGGCGAGGCCGAAAGGCGUAGUCGAUGGGAAACAGGUUAAUAUUCCUGUACUUGGUGUUACUGCGAAGGGGGGACGGAGAAGGCUAUGUCAGCCGGGCGACGGUUGUCCCGGUUUAAGCGUGUAGGUGUGUGUUCCAGGCAAAUCCGGUUCACUUUAACACUGAGGCGUGAUGACGAGGCACUACGGUGCUGAAGUGAUAAAUGCCCUGCUUCCAGGAAAAGCCUCUAAGCAUCAGGUAACACGAAAUCGUACCCCAAACCGACACAGGUGGUCAGGUAGAGAAUACCAAGGCGCUUGAGAGAACUCGGGUGAAGGAACUAGGCAAAAUGGUGCCGUAACUUCGGGAGAAGGCACGCUGAUAUGUAGGUGAAGUCCCUGCGGACGGAGCUGAAAUCAGUCGAAGAUACCAGCUGGCUGCAACUGUUUAUUAAAAACACAGCACUGUGCAAACACGAAAGUGGACGUAUACGGUGUGACGCCUGCCCGGUGCCGGAAGGUUAAUUGAUGGGGUUAGCGGCAACGCGAAGCUCUUGAUCGAAGCCCCGGUAAACGGCGGCCGUAACUAUAACGGUCCUAAGGUAGCGAAAUUCCUUGUCGGGUAAGUUCCGACCUGCACGAAUGGCGUAAUGAUGGCCAGGCUGUCUCCACCCGAGACUCAGUGAAAUUGAACUCGCUGUGAAGAUGCAGUGUACCCGCGGCAAGACGGAAAGACCCCGUGAACCUUUACUAUAGCUUGACACUGAACACUGGUCCUUGAUGUGUAGGAUAGGUGGGAGGCUUUGAAGCGUGGACGCCAGUCUGCGUGGAGCCAUCCUUGAAAUACCACCCUUUAAUGGCUGGUGUUCUAACGUGGACCCGUAAUCCGGGUUGCGGACAGUGUCUGGUGGGUAGUUUGACUGGGGCGGUCUCCUCCCAAAGAGUAACGGAGGAGCACGAAGGUUAGCUAAUCCUGGUCGGACAUCAGGAGGUUAGUGCAAUGGCAUAAGCUAGCUUGACUGCGAGAGUGACGGCUCGAGCAGGUGCGAAAGCAGGUCAUAGUGAUCCGGUGGUUCUGAAUGGAAGGGCCAUCGCUCAACGGAUAAAAGGUACUCCGGGGAUAACAGGCUGAUACCGCCCAAGAGUUCAUAUCGACGGCGGUGUUUGGCACCUCGAUGUCGGCUCAUCACAUCCUGGGGCUGAAGUAGGUCCCAAGGGUAUGGCUGUUCGCCAUUUAAAGUGGUACGCGAGCUGGGUUUAGAACGUCGUGAGACAGUUCGGUCCCUAUCUGCCGUGGGCGCUGGAGAAUUGAGGGGGGCUGCUCCUAGUACGAGAGGACCGGAGUGGACGCAUCACUGGUGUUCGGGUUGUCAUGCCAAUGGCACUGCCCGGUAGCUAAAUGCGGAAGAGAUAAGUGCUGAAAGCAUCUAAGCACGAAACUUGCCCCGAGAUGAGUUCUCCCUGAGACUAUAAGUCUCCUGAAGGAACGUUGAAGACGACGACGUUGAUAGGCCGGGUGUGUAAGCGCAGCGAUGCGUUGAGCUAACCGGUACUAAUGAACCGUGAGGCUUAACCUU